Molecule: ribosomal RNA, 253 nt
Filed under: uncultured bacterium
Lineage: Bacteria
Description: partial 16S ribosomal RNA
Rfam family: Bacterial small subunit ribosomal RNA
Source: RNAcentral
UACGUAGGGGGCAAGCGUUAUCCGGAUUUACUGGGUGUAAAGGGAGCGUAGACGGCUGCGCAAGUCAGAAGUGAAAGCCCGGGGCUCAACCGCGGGACUGCUUUUGAAACUGUGUAGCUAGAGUGCAGGAGAGGUAAGUGGAAUUCCUAGUGUAGCGGUGAAAUGCGUAGAUAUUAGGAGGAGCACCGGUGGCGAAGGCGGCUUACUGGACUGUAACUGACGUUGAGGCUCGAAAGCGUGGGGAGCAAACAGG